UACGGGGGGGGCAAGCGUUGUUCGGAAUUACUGGGCGUAAAGGGCUCGUAGGCGGCCAACUAAGUCAGACGUGAAAUCCCCAGGCUCAACCUGGGAACUGCGUCUGAUACUGGAUGGCUUGAAUCCGGGAGAGGGAUGCAGAAUUCCAGGUGUAGCGGUGAAAUGCGUAGAUAUCUGGAGGAAUACCGGUGGCGAAGGCGGCAUCCUGGACCGGUAUUGACGCUGAGGCGCGAAAGCCAGGGGAGCAAACGGG
RNAcentral lists this ribosomal RNA (253 nucleotides) under uncultured bacterium. RNAcentral describes it as "partial 16S ribosomal RNA". It matches the Rfam family "Bacterial small subunit ribosomal RNA", at positions 524 to 776 of the family's 1533-position model. The record is from RNAcentral.